CCUACGGGGGGCAGCAGUUGGGAAUAUUGGACAAUGGAGGAAACUCUGAUCCUGUGACGCCGCGUGAAGGAAGAAGGUCUUCGGAUUGUAAACUUAUUUUAUCAGGGAAGAAGAAAGUGACAGUACCUGAAGAAAAAGGACCGGCAAACUACGUGCCAGCAGCCGCGGUAAUACGUAGGGUGCAAGCGUUAUCCGGAUUUACUGGGUGUAAAGGGCGAGUAGACGGCGCUGUAAGUCAGCUGUGAAAACUUAGGGCUCAACCUUAAGCCUGCAGCUGAAACUGUGGUGCUAGAGUGCAGGAGAGGUAAGCGGAAUUCCUAGUGUAGCGGUGAAAUGCGUAGAUAUUAGGAGGAACACCAGUGGCGAAGGCGGCUUACUGGACUGUAACUGACGUUGAGGCUCGAAAGUGUGGGGAGCAAACAGGAUUAGAUACCCCUGUAGUC
This 443-nucleotide ribosomal RNA is filed under the name Salmonella enterica subsp. enterica serovar Anatum. RNAcentral's name for it is "bacterial SSU rRNA". It matches the Rfam family "Bacterial small subunit ribosomal RNA", at positions 338 to 795 of the family's 1533-position model. The record is from RNAcentral. Lineage: Bacteria; Pseudomonadati; Pseudomonadota; Gammaproteobacteria; Enterobacterales; Enterobacteriaceae.